Molecule: ribosomal RNA, 253 nt
Filed under: uncultured bacterium
Lineage: Bacteria
Description: partial 16S ribosomal RNA
Rfam family: Bacterial small subunit ribosomal RNA
Source: RNAcentral
UACGGAGGGUGCGAGCGUUAAUCGGAAUCACUGGGCGUAAAACGCGCGUAGGCGGCUUUUCAAGUCAGGGGUGAAAUCCCACGGCCCAACCGUGGAACUGCCUUUGAAACUGUAGAGCUUGAGUGUCGGAGAGGGUGGCGGAAUUCCAGGUGUAGGAGUGAAAUCCGUAGAUAUCUGGAGGAACACCGGUGGCGAAGGCGGCCACCUGGACGACAACUGACGCUGAGGUGCGAAAGCGUGGGUAGCAAACAGG